AAGGCUUGACCUCAAAUCAGU
Molecule: ribosomal RNA, 21 nt
Filed under: Pisolithus tinctorius
Lineage: Eukaryota; Fungi; Basidiomycota; Agaricomycetes; Boletales; Pisolithaceae
Description: partial 28S ribosomal RNA
Source: RNAcentral